RNAcentral lists this unclassified non-coding RNA (520 nucleotides) under uncultured Glomus. RNAcentral's name for it is "SSU rRNA". It matches the Rfam family "Eukaryotic small subunit ribosomal RNA", at positions 569 to 1090 of the family's 1831-position model. Lineage: Eukaryota; Fungi; Glomeromycota; Glomeromycetes; Glomerales; Glomeraceae. The record is from RNAcentral.
AGCAGCCGCGGUAAUUCCAGCUCCAAUAGCGUAUAUUAAAGUUGUUGCAGUUAAAAAGCUCGUAGUUGAAUUUCGGGGUUAGUAGGUUGGUCAUGCCUCUGGUACGUACUGGUCUCACUGAUUCCUCCUUCCUGAUGAGCCGUAAUGCCAUUAAUUUGGUGUUGCGGGGAAUUUGGACUGUUACUUUGAAAAAAUUAGAGUGUUUAAAGCAAGCUAACGCUUGAAUACAUUAGCAUGGAAUAAUGAAAUAGGACGUUCGAUCCUAUUUUGUUGGUUUCUAGGAUUGACGUAAUGAUUAAUAGGGAUAGUUGGGGGCAUUAGUAUUCAAUUGUCAGAGGUGAAAUUCUUGGAUUUAUUGAAGACUAACUACUGCGAAAGCAUUUGCCAAGGAUGUUUUCAUUAAUCAAGAACGAAAGUUAGGGGAUCGAAGACGAUCAGAUACCGUCGUAGUCUUAACCAUAAACUAUGCCGACUAGGGAUCGGAUGAUGUUAAUUUUUUAAUGACUCAUUCGGCGCCUUA